Molecule: ribosomal RNA, 253 nt
Filed under: uncultured bacterium
Lineage: Bacteria
Description: partial 16S ribosomal RNA
Rfam family: Bacterial small subunit ribosomal RNA
Source: RNAcentral
GACGAACCGUGCGAACGUUGUUCGGAAUCACUGGGCUUAAAGGGCGCGUAGGCGGGCUGACAAGUCUGGGGUGAAAUCCCACGGCUCAACCGUGGAACUGCUCGGUAUACUGGCGAUCUUGGGCCACUUAGGGGCUAGCGGAACAAACGGUGGAGCGGUGAAAUGCGUAGAUAUCGUUUGGAACGCCAAUGGUGAAAACAGCUAGCUGGGAGUGUGCCGACGCUGAGACACGAAAGCCAGGGGAGCGAACGGG